GAGAGAGACAUGCGCGCAUAUCAAUAAGCGGAGGAAAAGAAACUAACAAGGAUUCCCUUAGUAACGGCGAGUGAAGCGGGAAGAGCUCAAAUUUGAAAUCUUCAAGGUUUACCUUGACGAAUUGUAGUUUAAAGAAGUGUUUUCUGCUGAAGUUUUGGUAAAAGUUCUUUGGAAUAGGACAUCAUAGAGGGUGAGAAUCCCGUAUUUGACCAUUAUUUUCAGCUUUGUGAUACACUUUCAAAGAGUCGGAUUGUUUGGGAAUGCAGUCCAAAAUGGGUGGUAAAUUUCAUCUAAAGCUAAAUAUUGGCGAGAGACCGAUAGCGAACAAGUACCGUGAGGGAAAGAUGAAAAGAACUUUGAAAAGAGAGUUAAACAGUACGUGAAAUUGUCAAAAGGGAAGCGUUUGACACCAGUGUUGUUUUCUCGAAAAUCAAUUAAAAAUGGCUCGAUUUUGUAUUGUUGAGACCUUAAAAGCUCACUGUACAUUUUUCGUGUCUUUUUUAAUGCACUUUUCGUUUAACAAGUCAACAUCAGUUUCUUUUGUUGUAAAAGGGUCAUUGGAAGGUGGCUUUCUUUUCGGAGAAAGUGUUUAUAGCCUUUGGCCUCUGCAAUCGGAGAGACUGAGGUCUGCAGCGUAGACUCUUCGGGGUUAGAUACAUUUGUGCUAAGUUAUAGCUUUUUAUAGACAACUUGUUGACUAUAAUUAGUCUUGUAGCUUACUCGCUUAUGCUAUUUUACCUACGCUUAGGAUGUUGAGUCGUAGAGCACGCAG
Molecule: ribosomal RNA, 772 nt
Filed under: uncultured Neocallimastigales
Lineage: Eukaryota; Fungi; Neocallimastigomycota; Neocallimastigomycetes; Neocallimastigales
Description: partial large subunit ribosomal RNA
Rfam family: Eukaryotic large subunit ribosomal RNA
Source: RNAcentral